RNAcentral lists this ribosomal RNA (468 nucleotides) under uncultured Sphingobacteriales bacterium. RNAcentral's name for it is "bacterial SSU rRNA". It matches the Rfam family "Bacterial small subunit ribosomal RNA", at positions 912 to 1382 of the family's 1533-position model. The record is from RNAcentral. Lineage: Bacteria; Pseudomonadati; Bacteroidota; Sphingobacteriia; Sphingobacteriales.
GACGGGGGCCCGCGACAAGCGGUGGAGCAUGUGGUUUAAUUCGAUGAUACGCGAGGAACCUUACCUGGGCUCAAAUGUAUGUGACGUAUUCUGAAAGGGAUACUUCUUCGGACAAUAUACGAGGUGCUGCAUGGUUGUCGUCAGCUCGUGCCGUGAGGUGUCGGGUUAAGUCCCAUAACGAGCGCAACCCCUACCUUUAGUUGCCAUCAGGUUAAGCUGGGGACUCUAAAGGAACUGCCUACGCAAGUAGUGAGGAAGGCGGGGAUGACGUCAAAUCAGCACGGCCCUUACGUCCAGGGCUACACACGUGCUACAAUGGCCGAUACAGAGGGCAGCUACCUGGUGACAGGAUGCAAAUCUCCAAAGUCGGUCUCAGUUCGGAUCGGAGUCUGCAACCCGACUCCGUGAAGUUGGAUUCGCUAGUAAUCGCGCAUCAGCCAUGGCGCGGUGAAUACGUUCCCGGGCCUU